CGGAGGGUGCAAGCGUUAUCCGGAUUCACUGGGUUUAAAGGGUGUGUAGGCGGGCUAUUAAGUCAGUGGUGAAAUCUCCGGGCUCAACCCGGAAACUGCCAUCGAUACUAUUAGUCUUGAAUAUUGUUGAGGUAGGCGGAAUAUACCAUGUAGCGGUGAAAUGCAUAGAUAUGAUAUAGAACACCGAUUGCGAAGGCAGCUUACUAAACAAUUAUUGACGCUGAGGCACGAAAGCGUGGGGAUCAAACAGGAUUAGAUACCCUGGUAGUCCACGCCCUAAACGAUGAUUACUCGACAUACGCGAUACACAGUGUGUGUCUGAGCGAAAGCAUUAAGUAAUCCACCUGGGAAGUACGUCCGCAAGGAUG
This 368-nucleotide ribosomal RNA is filed under the name uncultured organism. Its description in RNAcentral is "bacterial SSU rRNA". It matches the Rfam family "Bacterial small subunit ribosomal RNA", at positions 526 to 896 of the family's 1533-position model. The record is from RNAcentral.